RNAcentral lists this non-coding RNA (29 nucleotides) under Mus musculus (house mouse). Lineage: Eukaryota; Metazoa; Chordata; Mammalia; Rodentia; Muridae. The record is from RNAcentral.
UCCACUGGAGUACUUUGUGGGCUCAGUCA